AAUUCACUAGUGAUUGAAACGACUGCUAAGACUGGAUAGGAAGAAAUAAGGCAUCUUAUUUCUUUUAAAAGACCUAGUAAUAGGUAUACUUUAGGAGGGGCUUGCGCCAUAUUAGUUAGUUGGUAGGGUAAUGGCCUACCAAGACGAUGAUGUGUAGCUGGACUGAGAGGUUGAACAGCCACAUUGGGACUGAGACACGGCCCAAACUCCUACGGGAGGCAGCAGUAAGGAAUUUUCGGCAAUGGAGGAAACUCUGACCGAGCAACGCCGCGUGAACGACGAAGUACUUUGGUAUGUAAAGUUCUUUUAUCAAGGAAGAAAAGCAAGUGGCGAACCAUUUGUUUGCCGGUACUUGAUGAAUAAGCCCCGGCUAAUUAUGUGCCAGCAGCCGCGGUAAGACAUAAGGGGCAAGUGUUAUCCGGAAUUAUUGGGCGUAAAGGGUGCGUAGGCGGUCUAGUAAGUCAGUGGUGUAAUGGCAACGCUCAACGUUGUCCGGCUAUUGAAACUGCUAAACUUGAGUUAGAUAGAGGCGAGUGGAAUUCCAUGUGUAGCGGUAAAAUGCGUAAAUAUAUGGAGGAACACCAGAGGCGUAGGCGGCUCGCUGGGUCUUAACUGACGCUGAGGCACGAAAGCGUGGGGAGCAAACAGGAUUAGAUACCCUGGUAGUCCACGCCGUAAACGAUGAGUACUAAGUGUCGGGUUAAACCGGUACUGAAGUUAACACAUUAAGUACUCCGCCUGAGUAGUACGUACGCAAGUAUGAAACUUAAAGGAAUUGACGGGACUCCGCACAAGCGGUGGAUCAUGUUGUUUAAUUCGAAGAUACCCGAAAAACCUUACCAGGUCUUGACAUGUUUUUGCGAAACGGUAGUAAUAUCGUAGAGGUUAUCAGAAACACAGGUGGUGCAUGGUUGUCGUCAGCUCGUGUCGUGAGAUGUUAGGUUAAGUCCUAAAACGAGCGAAACCCUUAUCGUUAGUUGCCAGCACGUUAUGGUGGGGACUUUAACGAGACUGCCAGUGAUAAACUGGAGGAAGGUGAGGAUCACGUCAAGUCAGCAUGCCCCUUAUGACCUGGGCUACAAACGUGAUACAAUGGCUGUUACAAAGGGUAGCUGAAACGUAAGUUCUUGGCCAAUCCCCAAAAACAGUCUCAGUCCGGAUUGAAGUCUGCAACUCGACUUCAUGAAGUUGGAAUCGCUAGUAAUCGCGAAUCAGCAUGUCGCGGUGAAUACGUUCACGGGGUUUGUACACACCGCCCGUCAAAUCG
Molecule: ribosomal RNA, 1267 nt
Filed under: Praxelis witches'-broom phytoplasma
Lineage: Bacteria; Bacillati; Mycoplasmatota; Mollicutes; Acholeplasmatales; Acholeplasmataceae
Description: bacterial SSU rRNA
Rfam family: Bacterial small subunit ribosomal RNA
Source: RNAcentral